Hyaena hyaena (striped hyena) is the source of this 263-nucleotide long non-coding RNA. RefSeq lists it as uncharacterized. Lineage: Eukaryota; Metazoa; Chordata; Mammalia; Carnivora; Hyaenidae. The record is from RefSeq and is a predicted model, not a curated record. The transcript is spliced from 2 exons.
ACCUCACAGAUGAGGGGCAGAAGCAAACAGAAGGGGAAUAAGAAGACAAGAACCACACAGAGCGUGAAGCUCGGAGCCACGAAAUGAGCUGAUAUGACAGAUGCUCGAGUGGAAUCAAGAAAGAGAAUCGAGGGUUCAUGGCAAAUGGAAUUACCCUUCCGGCCGGUGUCUCGUUCUGAGCGCAGAGAUGGAAGAUGUUCCAGUGGCUGCGUUAGUUCAGGGGAAGAAUAGCACUUGAGCAUUAAAGAUUUACCAAGGUGUUA